RNAcentral lists this ribosomal RNA (311 nucleotides) under uncultured eukaryote. Its description in RNAcentral is "partial 18S ribosomal RNA". It matches the Rfam family "Eukaryotic small subunit ribosomal RNA", at positions 1470 to 1796 of the family's 1831-position model. The record is from RNAcentral.
CCCCUAGACGUUCUGGGCUGCACGCGCGCUACAUUAAUACGCACAGCGAGUAUCACCGAGCUCGAAAGGGCAAGGUAAACAAUAGAAAAGGUACUGUAAUGGUUAUAGAUCCUUGUAAUUAUUGAUCUUCAACGAGGAAUUCCUAGUAAGUAUGUGUCAUCAUCACGCACUGAUUACGUCCCUGCCCUUUGUACACACCGCCCGUCGCUCCUACCGAUUGAGUGAGCCGAUGAAACUGCCGGAUGUGGACUAUUCAUAGUCUGCAGAAGAUAUUUGAAUCGUAGCGCUUAGAGGAAGGAGAAGUCGUAACA